This 68-nucleotide transfer RNA is filed under the name Marmota monax (woodchuck). RNAcentral's name for it is "tRNA.Ala". The record is from RNAcentral. Lineage: Eukaryota; Metazoa; Chordata; Mammalia; Rodentia; Sciuridae.
GUGGUGGAUCAGUGGUAGCGCAUUUGCUUAGCAUGUGUGAGGCACUGGGUUCGAUCCCCAGCAUCACA